CAAUAGCGUAUAUUUAAGUUGUUGCAGUUAAAAAGCUCGUAGUUGGAUUUCGGAUGGGACUUGCCGGUCCGUCGUUUCGAUGUGCACUGGCCAGUCCUAUCUUGUUGUCGGGGACUAGCUCCUGGGCUUCACUGUCCGGGACUAGGAGCUGACGAGGUUACUUUGAGUAAAUUAGAGUGUUCAAAGCAAGCCUACGCUCUGAAUACAUUAGCAUGGAAUAACACGAUAGGACUCUGGCUUAUCUUGUUGGUCUGUGAGACCAGAGUAAUGAUUAAGAGGGACAGUCGGGGGCAUUCGUAUUUCAUUGUCAGAGGUGAAAUUCCUGGAUUUAUGAAAGACGAACUUCUGCGAAAGCAUUUGUCAAGGAUGUUUUCAUUAA
RNAcentral lists this ribosomal RNA (379 nucleotides) under uncultured eukaryote. RNAcentral describes it as "partial 18S ribosomal RNA". It matches the Rfam family "Eukaryotic small subunit ribosomal RNA", at positions 592 to 976 of the family's 1831-position model. The record is from RNAcentral.